This 484-nucleotide ribosomal RNA is filed under the name Cupriavidus sp. 'ARUP UnID 283'. RNAcentral's name for it is "bacterial SSU rRNA". It matches the Rfam family "Bacterial small subunit ribosomal RNA", at positions 27 to 506 of the family's 1533-position model. The record is from RNAcentral. Lineage: Bacteria; Pseudomonadati; Pseudomonadota; Betaproteobacteria; Burkholderiales; Burkholderiaceae.
GAUUGAACGCUGGCGGCAUGCCUUACACAUGCAAGUCGAACGGCAGCGCGGGCUUCGGCCUGGCGGCGAGUGGCGAACGGGUGAGUAAUACAUCGGAACGUGCCCUGUUGUGGGGGAUAACUAGUCGAAAGAUUAGCUAAUACCGCAUACGACCUGAGGGUGAAAGCGGGGGACCGUAAGGCCUCGCGCAGCAGGAGCGGCCGAUGUCUGAUUAGCUAGUUGGUGGGGUAAUGGCCUACCAAGGCGACGAUCAGUAGCUGGUCUGAGAGGACGAUCAGCCACACUGGGACUGAGACACGGCCCAGACUCCUACGGGAGGCAGCAGUGGGGAAUUUUGGACAAUGGGGGCAACCCUGAUCCAGCAAUGCCGCGUGUGUGAAGAAGGCCUUCGGGUUGUAAAGCACUUUUGUCCGGAAAGAAAACGCGCUGGUUAAUACCCGGCGUGGAUGACGGUACCGGAAGAAUAAGCACCGGCUAACUACGU